AAGACUUACUUUCAGGGAUCAUUUUUAUAGUUUACUAAAAGUUUCUCUGCCUGUGUAGAGUACUGGAAACUACGAAGAGGGGGCACAGAGUUCUCUGAGUGUGAAGCUGGCACUUGGUGUUGCUUUGCUGCAACUGCCACUUGCCAUUGAUGAUUGUUCCUGCUAUCCUUCGGAGGUGAGCUGGAGGGGAAGGAUGCAGUCUGAGUGGC
This is a small nucleolar RNA of Jaculus jaculus (lesser Egyptian jerboa), 209 nucleotides long. Its record names the gene U3. It matches the Rfam family "Small nucleolar RNA U3". From Rfam's summary of the family: Small nucleolar RNAs (snoRNAs) are involved in the processing and modification of rRNA in the nucleolus. The record is from Ensembl. Lineage: Eukaryota; Metazoa; Chordata; Mammalia; Rodentia; Dipodidae.